GUUAAUCUUGUUAGACAUUUUUAUGAGAAUUUGGUUCCAAGCUGUACUAUAUAUGAUAUCGAUUGCCCAGACCAUUCCUUUCGCAAGUUUACAGACGACGGCCAAUACCUCGUGAGUUUUAGCAGGAAUCACCAGGAUCUGAUCGUUUACAGACCCACAUGGUUGUCAUUUUCGUGCAAAGGAGAAGAUUGUGAUGCACAUAGUCUGCCCCAGAAAGCAAAGAGGUUUGACAGCUUUUUCACCCAGCUCUACUGUGUGUCUCUUGCAUCCAGCAAUGAGUUUAUUUGCAAGGACCUCUUUCUGUAUAUGGAGACUCACCAGUUUGGCUUGUUUGCAACCUCAACUGCACAAAGCCAUGAGGCACCCACCACAGAGGGUGCAAUAGAAGGACUCCCUUCAAUAGAAAAGAUAACAUUUUACCUUGUGAGACUGGAAGAUGGAGUCAUAUUAGAUGAGAAAGCCUUUUGCAAUGAUUUUGUCAACUUGGCCCAGAGCAUGGGUGUUUUCUUGUAUGAGGAUCUGUUGUGUAUCAUGUCCCUUCGAUAUCAAACAAUACAUAUACUACAAAUUCGGGAUUCUGGAAACCUGGUUUAUGUACGAAAUAUAGGUAUAUUCUGCCGAGAAGAUGAUGAGUUAUUUAUUAACUCCCAUGCUCAGAGCAUGGGAAUCUUGGACAAAUCUAAGCCAGACGAUUCAUCUGACCGCCAGGUAGCUAAUGGCGUUCUACAGCUCCAAGUUACACAGGGGACUUCUUUUCUUAGUGGUAUCAAGCAGCGCUUGCUUUCAUUUAUUUUUUGCAAAAUAUGGAAUGAAGAAGCAGAUCCAACUUUGAGGGUUCAACAUUUAAAGAAGAAGUUCUAUUUCCACUUUCAAGAUUAUGUUGAUCUCAUCAUGUGGAAGGUGCAGUUCUUGGAUCGUCAUCAUCUUUUAAUUAAGUUUGGCAGUGUGGAUGGAGGGGUUGCCCGAAGUACCGAUCAACAUCCAGCAUUCUUUGCUGUGUAUAACAUGGAAACAACAGAUAUUGUUGCAUUUUAUCAGAAUUCUUCAGAGGAGCUUUACUCAUUGUUUGAGCAAUUCUAUGACCAUUUUCAUGCAAAUUCGAGAAAUUCUUUGCAUACAAGUUUUAUAUCUUCUCACUCCAAUAACAUACAUGCUCUCGAUCAGCUUUGGUGCAUUAAAAAUAAAGCAAACAGCAUCUCACAGUUUGUGAAGAAGAUGAUGACUUCAUUACCAUGCACCUGCCAGUCCCAAAGCCCUUCACCAUAUUUUGAUCUAUCACUCUUUCGGUAUGAUGAAAAGGUCUGAUCUAUUCAGUCAGAGCUUAUCAUAUAUGUGAAAAUUGGUUUACUUAAUUUUACCGGUCACCUUCUUCAUCAUCAUAAUUUUGAUUGUGAUCAAAAGUGGCAGUUCUCCUAUGUUUGAAGCUGAUUUCAGCAACAGUUCGCCACAGACACUCCACUGAACAUCCAAUAAAGUUCAUUUCAAGGAGGCAACCGAAUAUGCUUAAGUUCAAGAUAAAACCAGGACCUGAGGCUGGUGGUUCUGAUGGCAGGCCAAAGAGAAUUUCAUCGUUCCUGUUCCAUCCUUACUUACCAUUUGCUCUUUCCAUCCAGCAGACAUAUAUGCAACCGACUGUUGUGAAUAUACAUUUCCGGAGAUGAAGUACAUGUGUCUUGUAUUUAUUUUUGUAACGGUACAGGGUAGUACCAAGCAGCACUGCUUAUUUGAAGUGUUGCCACACUGUACAAAAUCUAAUGCUAACGAGCGUUCAACAGAAUCAGAUAACGAAUUAUUUGAAGUGUGGACACAGAUGGAGCAUUUUUCUCAUUGUCAGAUCAUCAGUUACUUCCCAAAUUAAUUCUCACUAAUGGGGAAAUUAUUGGGGACAAGUUGGAUCUGUAACUAACUCUGUCAAGUAUUAAUAUUUGGUAUACCACCAACUGUAUCUUGCGUUGCAGAACCUCCUUUAAAGUUGUGAAGGAUGUAAACUGUUGCUGCUUUGGUUGGUAUGCUGUCCGAUGUCGAAGGUACUUGGAACAAUAUUAAAUUUCAACGGUUGGAGAAUGCUGUGGGGAUUUAUUUGAGGUUGCCUCCAGUUUCAAUGAAUAUAGUAAUUGGGAUUGCAGCUAAAUUUGUUUACAGUUCCAAUUACAAGAUUUGGGCCAUUUUUGUGCUUCAAAUGUUACCUGUAGUUGUAAUUGUAGUCAUCUAAAAAGCUAUUUUGGAUGUCUGAAUUAGUCGCUGCAAUUGCAACUGUAACCAGGCAAACAAAAGUCUCCUUAAUGGAACAUAAGAGUGGAUUGCAUUUUUUCAC
Elaeis guineensis (African oil palm) is the source of this 2314-nucleotide non-coding RNA. NCBI's taxonomy places the organism in Eukaryota, Viridiplantae, Streptophyta, Magnoliopsida, Arecales, Arecaceae. The record is from RefSeq and is a predicted model, not a curated record.